This 62-nucleotide transfer RNA is filed under the name Appalachioria falcifera. Its description in RNAcentral is "tRNA-Ala". The record is from RNAcentral. Lineage: Eukaryota; Metazoa; Arthropoda; Diplopoda; Polydesmida; Xystodesmidae.
AGGUUUGUAUUUUAAGUUAAAAUUUUUAGUUUGCAAUUAAUUGAUGCACUAUGCCAAGCCUG